AGAUCGACGACUAGGAUCAAAUGUUCUGCCAGCAGACGCCGGUGGUCUGCCAAUCGUCGAAGCGCUCUGCGCCCCCGAUCCGCACGACUCCGCCCACAACGCGGAUCAAAUCCACCUGAAUCCCACUAAUUCCUCUGCUCCGGUCCUUUCCAUCUUCCCAAAUCGUGCCGUCCCCACAGUCCCCUCCACCAUAUCGCCUCCAAGCGAGCCCAGCGCUGCCGAUCUCCCGUGCCGCCGCCAUCUCCGCCGCCUCCUUGACACAAGGCCACCACCAUUGAGCCCCACUCUGGCGUGCCUGCUGCACUUCGGCCAUGGCAGUCAUUGCCACCGUGACUCUGUCCUCGGGAUCUCAUCCUACUGUCCUGGAUCGGGGCGGCAGUGGCGAUUUGGAUCCGGGCGGCGGCGGCUGAGCAAGGGCACCGGUGCUGUCUAGGUACAUCUCUUCCCUCUGUCCCUGCCUCCCUCCCUCUCUCUGCCCCGUCGAGGUCGCUGUGAGCCCGUGACCGUGGACUGGCGGGGAACUCCGGUAGCAGGUAACGGGGAGCUUUGACAGCGAGGAAUCGCAAGCACGGGUGCUCUGCUGGCGGAGGCAUGUUUUGGGGACGGGGAGACCUCCGGCCGUGGGGAAUGGAGGGAGCUUUGGAUGCAAACUGAAUUUCAUCUCUCUCUCUGUUCUUUUUUCUGCUGAUGGCACAGAAGAACAUUGGUAAUGUUGAGCUGACAAAGAGAAGUAGCAGACUAAUUUCUAUGUCGACUAGACGAUGAUUUGCUCCCUGUAUGUGGUUUCCUCUGUAUUCUUUAUAUGAUGUUAUUUUGUGAUCCUUGAGUAUGGAAAUAGCAUGGUGUGCAGCGUUGCCCUUGUGAGCAAUCUCUGAUGCUACUGAUGUUUAUAUAUGUAUUACUUAUGGCACUAGGAUUCAAUCCUCACUGAAGAUUGAAUUCCAUCUUCUUGGUUAGAAUACACAAAGGAUUUGAAUUGUGAAUCUUGUAAGGACAUUUAUGUGAAAUUUAACAUGACUAAUUUGAGACCAGCAAAGAGGAUUGGGCCCGAAGAAAUGUUGAUAUUGUGCUAGGUCCAGAAGGCGAUAUGUCGAGCUAUGCGUAGCCUGCUUUCAAUGGCUUAUUUAAACGGGUGUCUCCUUUUCCUUUGUAUGUGUUUUCGAGUCUCAUUUCGUGUAAAAAUAGCCUGUAGAUGUCCUGCGGUGUGAUUUUAUUUUUCGAGUUCAGCUCUGUGUUAUCAUAGAAUUCAGGUAAGGGAGAUCAAGAAGAUGUUUCAUAUGUCAGCACAACUACUGGAGGAUUUGCAGGUGAGCAACUAUUAUAUGAGUUUGGAUGGCCGAAUAUCAGUAGUACAUCAAAAUCUAUGGCUUUAUAUAGUUUGUCACAUACUGUCUUAUUUCAUAUAUGAUGACCAUAUCAAAUGAAGUGUUUGUUUCUUUUUCAUUCAGUGUACAUUGAUUCCAGUGUAACAAGAACAGAAAAUAAGGUACUCUCUAAAUAAUGUGUGAGGUUUCAGAUUCUGUAAUUUGUUUUACUGUUGCUAACUGAGCAUGCUUAGAUAAUGGGGUGAUUUGAGUGGAGUUUCAGAGUCGACCGUUCAUGUCUGCAGUCUCAAGUUUCUAUAUGUAUAGUUUGAGACAUAAUAAGUACUUAUCAUUUCAGAAAGUUUCAUGUUUCAUACUUAUGAUUGAUACUGAUUGUAUUCACGUAAUUGGGACACUUGGAUACGGUGGUUGGCUAACUAAUAAGUAAGAUGUACCCAGUUCUGCAUAAAGAUUUAGGCACCCUAAUUUCUUAAGUCUUUGUGGAGUCAGAGGUCUUGAAUGUUUUUGUUCGAAGUCUUUUUGAAAUGAUGAGUGAUGCAUGCCUAUUCAAUGGUUUACAUGGUACUGCAAGUGAAGAAAUGAUUUGUACUGAACCAUCUAAUGGGUUAUUGUGUUUCUUUGAAGUCAUGAAUUUGUACCAAGUGACGCCCUCAUUGGCAUUCUUUUUGAAAGAUAUCCAAGAUAGUUAAAGCAUCAUGGGGACGAGGAGGCCGAGCAGUCCGUUGUGUCUCUGUCGUCACCGGGCGCACUGUGGCACAUGGAACUUUCUCUAUCAGUUCAGGCUGGACGAGCAAGACGACAUAUUGCAGACCGGGACCAAGAGUUAUGUUCAUCAUCAGUUAUAUGUGUUAAUACUCUCCUAGAGAUUGAUUUCUUUGCGAUCGCAAAAAAAGGGGUCAGAUACAUGGCGAGCUACCAAAUAUCAAGUUGCAAAUGCCUUCGUUGCUUUGGACCUUGCCAUGGAAGGAUCAACACUAAAUGACCACAAAAUGCCUCUAGAUUAUGAGUAAGCGUGUUUCUACCUUCAGCGGUAUGGGCAUCUGCUUUGUCUCUCUGGCUGGUUUCACGGGUACCUGAUUUUUCUUGGAACAGUCACAGGUGCUGCAGCUUGGUUUGCUGACUAGCAAUGUUUUGUUUCUUAGGUGGACAAACUUGUAUCUCAGAACGUUGAUGAAUUAUUUCAUUUGAUCAGCUUAUGUGGAAACUACUAA
This is a non-coding RNA of Aegilops tauschii subsp. strangulata, 2536 nucleotides long. The record is from RefSeq and is a predicted model, not a curated record. NCBI's taxonomy places the organism in Eukaryota, Viridiplantae, Streptophyta, Magnoliopsida, Poales, Poaceae.